Molecule: ribosomal RNA, 476 nt
Filed under: uncultured bacterium
Lineage: Bacteria
Description: partial 16S ribosomal RNA
Rfam family: Bacterial small subunit ribosomal RNA
Source: RNAcentral
AGUGAACGCUGGCGGCGUGCUUAACACAUGCAAGUCGAACGGAUGAAAUAAGCUUGCUUAUUUCGUUAGUGGCGCACGGGUGAGUAAUGUAUAGCUAACCUGCCCUUUAGUGGGGGACAACAGUUGGAAACGGCUGCUAAUACCCCAUACUCCUUCUUAUCAUAAGAUAAGUUGGGAAAGAUUGAUUGCUAAAGGAUGGGGCUUUAUUGUAUCAGCUAGUUGGUGGGGUAACGGCCUACCAAGGCGAUGACGCAUACCUGGUCUGAGAGGAUGAUCAGGCACACUGGAACUGAGACACGGUCCAGACUCCUACGGGAGGCAGCAGUGGGGAAUAUUGCACAAUGGGGGAAACCCUGAUGCAGCAACGCCGCGUGGAGGAUGACGCAUUUCGGUGUGUAAACUCCUUUUAUAAGGGAAGAUAAUGACGGUACCUUAUGAAUAAGCACCGGCUAACUCCGUGCCAGCAGCCGCGGUAA